Long non-coding RNA from Gavialis gangeticus (Gharial), 108 nucleotides. RefSeq lists it as uncharacterized. The record is from RefSeq and is a predicted model, not a curated record. NCBI's taxonomy places the organism in Eukaryota, Metazoa, Chordata, Crocodylia, Gavialidae. The transcript has 3 exons.
UGACAGUGCCUCCAACACUUCACUGUCAAUCAUUACUACACCUGAGUUCAUAAUACCACACUUCAGUUAAGGUUUUUAGUUAGGGCUCUGAGAUGAGAGAUUUGGUGC